CGUGGCGAAAGCCGGGUCUGGACCAUAUUGACUCUGAGGCGCAAAUCUAGGGGAGCAAACAGGAUUAGAUAGCGCCGUAGUCGUAUCCCUAAACGAUGGAUGCUUGGUGUGGUUGGUACCCAAUCCCAGUGUUCCGCAGCUGACGUGAUAAGCAUCCGGCCUGGAGAGUACGGUCGCAAGUCUGAAACUCAAAGGAAUUGUUGGGGGCCCGCACAAGCGGUGGAGCAUGUGGUUCAAUUCGACGCAACUUGAAGAACCUUACGUGAGCUUGAAGCGCAGUGGACCGGGGUAGAAAUAUCCCUUUCUCGCAUGAGAUUGUUGCGGAGUUGAUGCAUGGCGGUCGUCAGCUCGUGUCGUGAGAUGUUGGGUUAAGUCCCGCAACGAGCGCAACCCUUAUCCCUAGUUUCCAUCGGGUCAAGCCGGGCAAUGUAGUGAAACCGCCCCGGAUAAUUGGGAGGAAGGUGGGGAUGACGUCAAGUCCUCAUGGCCUUUAUGUCCAGGGCUACACACGUGCUACAAUGGUCGGUACAAACAGUUGCAAACCCGCGAGGGGGAGCUAAUCGGAAAAAUCCGGCCUCAGUUGGGAUUGGAGUCUGCAACCCGACUCCAUGAAGCUGGAAUCGCUAGUAAUCGCGGAUCAGAACGCCGCGGUGAAUACGUUCCCGGGCCUUGUACACACCGCCCGUCACAUCACGAAAGUGGCAUGCACUAGAAGCCGGCGUGCUAACUCGCAAGAGAGGCAACCGUCCAAGGUAUGGUUCAUGAUUGGGGUGAAGUCGUAACAAGGUAACC
Molecule: ribosomal RNA, 792 nt
Filed under: uncultured soil bacterium
Lineage: Bacteria
Description: bacterial SSU rRNA
Rfam family: Bacterial small subunit ribosomal RNA
Source: RNAcentral